RNAcentral lists this long non-coding RNA (796 nucleotides) under Apteryx haastii (Great spotted kiwi). Its description in RNAcentral is "lncRNA (ENSAHAG00000011044.1)". The record is from RNAcentral. Lineage: Eukaryota; Metazoa; Chordata; Aves; Apterygiformes; Apterygidae.
GCCUCUCAGCCGUGGUUUCCCACUCCCCUCCUCAAGCUGCUUACCGCAGUCUCGGAGAUCUUAGUCGAGCGUAACCAUCCUCUACUACCAGAUGUCGGAGUGGGAGACGGACCCGGAGUAACKAUGAGUCUCAAUAUGAGUAUGGUCAUUCUCCCUUUAUUAGAGCUUACACAGAGUAUAUAUAGACAAGCAAUAAGCAUGCACUAGCAAUAGCUGUAUGAUUGGUUUACAGUGUCUGUACAUCCAAAGUGAUCAAUCAUUCUGCGAGGCAGCCAAGAGACAAAGCGGUUUGCUUGUUCGAUAGGCAGUGGACAGAUUAGGCAGUCUCCUUGUUUGUGAGACAGCGAACAUCCACAGUGGUCAUUCAUUCUGAGAGGCAGCGAAGAAACACAGCGGUCUGGGUUUUCCCCAGGCGGCGAACUGAUUAGGCAGUCUCCUUGUUUGUGAGACACCGAACAUCCACAGUGGUCACUCAUUCUGCGAGGCAGCGAACAGACGCAGCAGUCUGCCGCUUUGUGAGACAGCGAACAUCCACAGUGGUCACUCAUUCUGCGAGGCAGCGAAGAGACGCAGCGGUUUACUUGUUCCACAGGCAGCGAAGAGACAAAGCGGUUUGCUUGUUCGCCAGGCAGCGAACAGAUUAGGCAGUCUCCUUGUUUGUGAGACAGCGAACAUCCACAGCGGUCACUCAUUCUGCGAGGCAGCGAAGAGACACAGCGGUUUGCUUGGGUACGAGGCAGCGAAAAGACACAGCUGUGAGAUAAUUUGCGAGGCAGCGAACAGACACAGCGGUUAG